GCUAAAUAAAAAGACGAAUCCCUUUUGGCCUCGUCACGAAUUGGAAGAUUCUUUAAAAAGCUAGCAGCCAAUCUGUUUCCUACUAGUGCCUUCACGUGGUUGAACCCAUUAUAACAUUAUAUCUUCUUCUCCUCUCCUUCUUCUUGUAUCCAUUAGAGAGAAACAGAGAGAUGGAACCUCCACCAGCACAAGCCAUAGAGACUUCAACCACCUACCAAGAAGAUGAACAGGACAAAGUCAUCAACGACUGUUGCUCUUGCUGCUUUGACUGCACCGAGACCAUUCUUGAUUACUUGUUCUGCGGUUUCUGUUAGACAUGUGGAUUAGAUUGACUACAAGCUUAAAUUAACUUGUUCCUCUUUCACUAUUCAUAUUAGUGUAUCAAACUUGAUGCUUUAUCUUUAAAUUUGAAGUUUAUUUUCUUCUUUCUUUGA
Long non-coding RNA from Rosa rugosa (rugosa rose), 434 nucleotides. RefSeq lists it as uncharacterized. Lineage: Eukaryota; Viridiplantae; Streptophyta; Magnoliopsida; Rosales; Rosaceae. The transcript has 2 exons. The record is from RefSeq and is a predicted model, not a curated record.